CUCAGGAUGAACGCUAGCGGCAGGCUUAACACAUGCAAGUCGAGGGGCAUCGGGAGUAGCAAUACUGCCCGGCGACCGGCGCAAGGGUGCGUAACGCGUGAGCAACAUGCCCGUAUCAGGGGGGAUAAUCCAUGGAAACGUGGUCUAAUACCCCAUAGUAAUUAUGUAAGGCAUCUUAUAUAAUUUAAAGCUUUGGUGGAUACGGAUUGGCUCGCGUGACAUUAGCUGGAUGGUAAGGUAACGGCUUACCAUGGCUACGAUGUCUAGGGGUUCUGAGAGGAAGGUCCCCCCACACUGGAACUGAGACACGGUCCAGACUCCUACGGGAGGCAGCAGUGAGGAAUAUUGGACAAUGGAUGGAAAUCUGAUCCAGCCAUGCCGCGUGCAAGGAAGACCGGCCCUAUGGGUUGUAAACUGCUUUUGUAUGGGAGCAAUAAGGGCUACGUGUAGUCCGAUGAGAGUACCAUACGAAUAAGCACCGGCUAACUCCGUGCCAGCCGCAGC
RNAcentral lists this ribosomal RNA (504 nucleotides) under uncultured bacterium. RNAcentral describes it as "bacterial SSU rRNA". It matches the Rfam family "Bacterial small subunit ribosomal RNA", at positions 23 to 518 of the family's 1533-position model. The record is from RNAcentral.